UACAGAGGGGGCAAGCGUUGUUCGGAAUUACUGGGCGUAAAGGGCGCGUAGGCGGCCUUCUAAGUCGAACGUGAAAUCCCCGGGCUCAACCCGGGAACUGCGUCCGAUACUGGAAGGCUUGAAUCCGGGAGAGGGAUGUGGAAUUCCAGGUGUAGCGGUGAAAUGCGUAGAUAUCUGGAGGAACACCGGCGGCGAAGGCGACAUCCUGGACCGGUAUUGACGCUGAGGCGCGAAAGCCAGGGGAGCAAACGGG
RNAcentral lists this ribosomal RNA (253 nucleotides) under uncultured bacterium. Its description in RNAcentral is "partial 16S ribosomal RNA". It matches the Rfam family "Bacterial small subunit ribosomal RNA", at positions 524 to 776 of the family's 1533-position model. The record is from RNAcentral.